Molecule: ribosomal RNA, 253 nt
Filed under: uncultured bacterium
Lineage: Bacteria
Description: partial 16S ribosomal RNA
Rfam family: Bacterial small subunit ribosomal RNA
Source: RNAcentral
UACGUAGGCAGCGAGCGUUGUUCGGAGUUACUGGGCGUAAAGAGUGCGUAGGCGGUUUUCUAAGUUUGGUGUGAAAUCUCCCGGCUUAACUGGGAGGGUGCGCCGAAGACUGGAAGGCUAGAGUAUGGGAGAGGUAAGCGGAAUUCCUGGUGUAGCGGUGAAAUGCGUAGAUAUCUGGAGGAAUACCGGUGGCGAAGGCGGCAUCCUGGACCAUUACUGACGCUGAGGCGCGAAAGCUAGGGGAGCAAACGGG